This 246-nucleotide ribosomal RNA is filed under the name uncultured bacterium. Its description in RNAcentral is "partial small subunit ribosomal RNA". It matches the Rfam family "Bacterial small subunit ribosomal RNA", at positions 26 to 288 of the family's 1533-position model. The record is from RNAcentral.
AGAAUCAACGCUGGCGGCGUGCCUAACACAUGCAAGUCGAACGAGAAAGGGGAGCAAUCCCUGAGUAAAGUGGCGCACGGGUGAGUAACACGUGACUAACCUACCCUGGAGGGGGGGAUAACUGAGGGAACCUUAGCUAAUACCGCAUAACACCUACGGGUCAAAGGAGCAAUUCGCUUUGGGAGGGGGUCGCGGCCGAUUAGUUAGUUGGCGGGGUAAUGGCCCACAAGACAGUGAUCGGUAUCC